UAAAAAUUGGGUGUUAAUAGCUGCCCCUUCAUUUUUUGAGAAUGAUAAAAGAAUUUUCAAACAACGAAAGUUGACGUAGUAGCCAAUUUUGUUCGACCGGGAAGGAUUCGUUGGAAUUAAGGCAACAAGAGGUGUUUAAAAAUAGUGUGGCCAAGACUUUGGAUUUAAGUCGCCAACAUAUCUCUAUUUUUACGAGAAUCAGGCCGUGUGUAGUUCUAGAUUUAGGAAUGAACAAUAUUCCCAAGGAAAAUAUUAAUGACCAGGGUUGGGGUGUCAACAAAUGGUACCGUGGAUUGAUGAGACGAUAAUGAAUAGAAUUUGGAAUAAUGACGUAUAGAGAAGUUUGAGAGUGUGAGAUAGUAGAGUUUAACGAUGAGUUCACGCGAUGGAGUAAUGUUUCGAAAAUAGAAACACAAAUUAUCUAUGUUUAUUAUUCCUUCUCCGUUACCUGCAUCUUUAUAUCACACUAAAUAACAGGGUAAGAAAUAAACAUUUGACAAGCGUAACAUAAUUAUGAAAAUAAAGAAAGUGUAUCUAUUUUAUCGGAAAUCGUGUGAUCAGUUGUUUGGCUUCUCAUCGUGGGAUCAGUUUUUGGGGCUUCUCCGUACAUUAUAAAAUCAUGGGAUCAACAUUUGAGUUUCUCCGGAUCAACAUUGGGGCUUCUUUAUCUUCGGAUCGGCAUUGGACUUCUAUAUCAUCGGAUUAGUAUUUGAGCUUUCUCCAUCGUCAGAUCAUCAUUGGGUUUCUCUAUCGUCGGAUCAGCAUUUGAGCUUCCCCAUCGUGUGAUCAGCAUUGGAGCUUCUCCAUUGUUGGAUCAGCAUUGGGGAUUCUCCAUCGUCGGGUCAUCACUGGAGCUUCUCCAUCGUCGGGUCAUCACUAGAGCUUCUCCAUCAUCGGUUCAGCAUUUGGGCUUCCCCAUCGUCGGAUCAGUAUUGGAUCUUCUCCAUCGAGCUUCUCCAUUGUCCAAUCAGCAUUGGGGUUUCUCCAUCGUUGGAUCAGCAUUGAGUUUUCCAUCAUCGGAUCAGCAUUGGGCUUCUCCAUCUUCGGAUCAACAUUUUAGCUUCUCCAUUUUCGGAUCAGCAUUGAAGUUUCUCCAUUGUCGGAUCAGCAUUGGGGAUUCUCCAUUGUCGGAUCAACAUUGAUCUUUUCCAUCGUCAGUUCGGCAUUUGAGCUUCUCUAUCGUUGGAUCAACAUUGGGCUUCUACAUUGUUGGAUCAGAAUUAGAGUUUCUCUAUUGUCGGAUCAGUAUUUGAGCUUUUCCAUCAUGAAAUUGUGACCUAUACCUGCCACUUGUAGCUUAACUCGACAGAAAUGAUUAGUAAGAAUAUAUGUGUGUGCAUAGAGGAUUGAACCUUGUAGCAAACAAACAUAACAGUAAAGAUAAGGGAAGAUAGGAAAGUGUAUUUGUCUUGUUGUCGGAUCAACUGUGCGGCUUCUCGUCAUGAUGUUGGAUUAUCUAUCGUGUUCCUUCGUGAUAAAGUGAUUCCUAUCACCUUAUAUCGUUGGGUCUCUUGUGAUGGAGUGAUUGUUAUCCUCUGUUCCUGUUACUUGCUCCUGUACUCAAAG
Molecule: long non-coding RNA, 1566 nt
Filed under: Capsicum annuum
Lineage: Eukaryota; Viridiplantae; Streptophyta; Magnoliopsida; Solanales; Solanaceae
Description: long non-coding RNA (CANN_LNC019533)
Source: RNAcentral